RNAcentral lists this ribosomal RNA (268 nucleotides) under uncultured soil bacterium. Its description in RNAcentral is "partial 16S ribosomal RNA". It matches the Rfam family "Bacterial small subunit ribosomal RNA", at positions 26 to 281 of the family's 1533-position model. The record is from RNAcentral.
AGAAUCAACGCUGGCGGCGUGCCUAACACAUGCAAGUCGAACGCGAAAGGGGAGCAAUCCCUGAGUAGAGUGGCAAACGGGUGAGUAACACGUGGGUGACCUGCCUUCGAGUGGGGGAUAACCUUCCGAAAGGAGGGCUAAUACCGCAUGACAUACCGUGUUUCGAUACACGGAUAUCAAAGCUGGGGAUCGCAAGACCUGGCGCUUGAAGAGGGGCCCGCGUCCGAUUAGCUAGUUGGUGAGGUAACGGCUCACCAAGGCUCCGAUC